This 324-nucleotide ribosomal RNA is filed under the name uncultured bacterium. Its description in RNAcentral is "bacterial SSU rRNA". It matches the Rfam family "Bacterial small subunit ribosomal RNA", at positions 18 to 344 of the family's 1533-position model. The record is from RNAcentral.
CCUGGCUCAGAUUGAACGCUAGCGGGAUGCCUUACACAUGCAAGUCGAACGGCAGCACGGACUUCGGUCUGGUGGCGAGUGGCGAACGGGUGAGUAAUGUAUCGGAACGUGCCUAGUAGCGGGGGAUAACUACGCGAAAGCGUAGCUAAUACCGCAUACGCCCUACGGGGGAAAGCAGGGGAUCGUAAGAACUUGCACUAUUAGAGCGGACGAUAUCGGAUUAGCUAGUUUGUGGUGUAAUAGCUCACCAAGGCGACGAUCCGUAGCUGGUUUGAGAGGACGACCAGCCACACUGGGACUGAGACACGGCCCAGACUCCUACUU